UAUGGAACUCACUUAUCUGCUGAUCUGGCACUGGGAAAUUUACUUGUCCUUACUGAAUUAAAGUUUCUUCAUCUGUCAUCGAAAGAGGCCAACUCUUUCCUUGGACUCAUUGGGCAGAGUAAAUAUCACGCCGGAAUCGUAAUAAUAACAGCAAUUCUGCCUCAGGUUAUCGAGAGAGAGUCUUCUACCUGAAGAUGAAAGCUGGGAUGUCGUCUUCUUGAAUUUUAAGUCAUACCUCAGGCCUCAUAAAUGGGCUCUUCUCUUGGGUUUUAUCCUAUGACCCUAUUUUGUUCACCCACCUAGGACCUGGAUUUGGAGCUCUUACAUAAGCCAGAAGACAGUAAGCUAACAGCCCUGGUGAGCUCCUUCCCACCUGCUGACCUACCUCACUGCUCUAAGAUUGUUGCUGGUAACUUCUGAGGAUUGUGCCUAGUUAUUACCAUAUUCUUUGGGAACUGGACUUUGCCUGCCGAUGGGAACUUUUUCUUGACUUCUGUAGUCUGGCCAAUUUCCCCAGCACAUGUCUCACCUAGUGGGUGGGUUUAACCUCAGGACUACUGUCUAUGCCAGUAACAUUGUCUUCUUCUGGAAGAAAUUGGACAAUGCAUGACUGAGUCCCAGGAUAUGAAAGCACAGGCCCUUGGCAAGAUAGUAAGAGAGUGGAUUAAUUUCUAACAAUAAGAAUAUAACAGAACGAUAAUCAUCAUUUAUGGAAGAAUUCUUAGAUUAUGCAACAUUAAUUGAGGAGACAUACAAUAGUGUGAGAGAACAGAGGAGACGCAUCAAUCCAGAGCCGGGAUCAGGGACGACUUUCCCAGAGAAAGCAAUUGCCAAACUAAAAGCUGAAGUCUAAGCAUAAAGCAGUAGAGGGAAGGAGAUGAAUGGAGUAACUGCAAGACAAGCAAAAGGGCCAGCAUUAAAAGAGAAUAUUGGGGGAAAGCUCAAUACAGUGGCCUCUCUGGAAAACAGUUUGGAAAGCAGUUUCUUAAAAAGUUUAACAUACACUUAUCAUUACAAUCUAG
RNAcentral lists this long non-coding RNA (1022 nucleotides) under Equus caballus (horse). RNAcentral describes it as "lncRNA (ENSECAG00000037641.3)". The record is from RNAcentral. Lineage: Eukaryota; Metazoa; Chordata; Mammalia; Perissodactyla; Equidae.